UACGAAGGGAGCAAGCGUUGUUCGGAUUUACUGGGCGUAAAGGGUGUGUAGGCGGUUUUGCAAGUUGGAUGUGAAAGCCCUGGGCUUAACUCAGGAAUUGCAUUCAAGACUGCAUCACUAGAGUAUGGAAGAGGUUGGUGGAAUUCCUAGUGUAGAGGUGAAAUUCGUAGAUAUUAGGAAGAACACCCGUGGCGAAGGCGGCCAACUGGUCCAUAACUGACGCUGAGACACGAAAGCGUGGGGAGCAAACAGG
This 253-nucleotide ribosomal RNA is filed under the name uncultured bacterium. RNAcentral's name for it is "partial 16S ribosomal RNA". It matches the Rfam family "Bacterial small subunit ribosomal RNA", at positions 524 to 776 of the family's 1533-position model. The record is from RNAcentral.